Long non-coding RNA from Andrographis paniculata, 1678 nucleotides. RefSeq lists it as uncharacterized. The transcript has 4 exons. The record is from RefSeq and is a predicted model, not a curated record. Lineage: Eukaryota; Viridiplantae; Streptophyta; Magnoliopsida; Lamiales; Acanthaceae.
GAAAACAUGCCACUUAUUAAGUUAAAAACCCAAACAGUUUGCAGUUCGUACAUUGGUACCGUGAACCUCACGCUGCGCCCACCGCCGUCCCCACCCCCGUCGUAUCGUCGCUGCGAGACGACACUGCACGUAUUUUGAACCAGUCUUUGCAGACUCGUCGCCAGUUACUGCUUCGCAGCAGCUCGUAUAUGCACGAACGGACGGAGUUUUCAACAAGCCGACCCGCAGCACCGCCGCCGUUCCUCCAGCGCUCAACAAUCGCCGUCGCAGGCAAGGGUCGAGAUGUGAGUUCGGGAGAGUUCUGUUGAACAACAAAAUGUUGAAAUUCUCUGCAAGUCCCAAUAAUCUUUAGAGGUGAUGUGGGGCAAAAACAGGUGUGGGUAUUUAGCAAUUUUUACUUUGUGAUAGUCCAUUUAUGACUUAUGCUUCAUUUCUCAUCAACUAAUUCUUCUUUCCUUUAUCUAUCCUUUUUUUUUUUGGUUUCUAUAUAUCUUAAUUGAGGAUUAUUAUUUUGCUUUGUAGUUGAUGAAGUUCGUUUAGACAUUUUGUCAAUUUGUUAGGAACACACAUAACCUACCUACAUUUCCUCAAGAUCUCUUGCACCAUUCUUAGGCCCUAAUGCUCCAUUUAGGGCAUACCGAGCAUAUGAGCAAGAUGAAAAAAAUGAUAGUGACGAUACAAUCAUUGAAGCCUCUACCAAUUCCAAUUUUUGCAUAUUAGUGAUUCACUUAAGCAUAUACAUAGCGUGUGCUUGUGUUGGGACAAUGGUAGCAUGAACAAAGAAGAUCUUGUCAGACCUAGUUGCAAGAUAUUAGAAAAAGAUUGUCACCAGAUAAGAAGAUUUUUCAGGCAAGUUUUACACGGUGUUGUUCUUUUUCUAAAAUUUAAUUUAUAGCAGAAGACAAAAACUUUUACUUCUUUCUCAAGUUCUUAUAUUUUAUAGUUAUUUCAUUAUAUUCAUUUUUAUUAAUUAUAUUUUUGAAUUUUUUUUUAUAAAUUUUUAGCCCUGUUUUUUUAAUGGUAGAAGACAAUUUUUCUACUGAAAAGAUUGCCACCGGAAUAGGAGCAGAAGUCCGUCUUCCUCUUGAAGUAAAUUCUUAUAUUUUCCUGUUAUUUUAUUCAUAUUUAUUUUUAUUAAUUACAUUUUUUUUGAAUUUUUGUAUAAUUUUUUAGCCCCGACUUUUUUACAAAAAUUUUCUUCAAGAAAAACCAGGAGCAGCAGAAGUCUAUUUUUUUAAAAGUAAAUUUUUCAAUGAAUUUGAAGUUUUGAAUAAAUUUUCAUUGAUGAAUUAUCCAAUAUAUAUAUUUUUUUUAUAAUUUAAAUUUUUCAAUAAAUUUUCAUUGAUGAAUUAUCCAAUAAAUUUUUCUAUAAUUUAAGUUUUUUUAUUUUGUUAUUCUCUAAAUUGUUUAUUUUGUUAUUCUCUAAAUUGUUUAUUUUGGUGUGGAGAGUAAUAAAGUUAUUUUCUAAAUUGUUUGCCGGAGGAUUCGCUAGCUUUUAUUCCUAAAUUUUGUUUAGUUUUGUUGAUUUAUUUUUAUGGUUUCACGAGGUUAUAUUUACUGCAGCCAGACAAUAUUUUUUUUAGACAUUUAAAUUAAAAAAUUUAAUUUAUUUAUGGUUAUUUUUUUUUUCAUUUUGUAUUUAAUUUUUUCCCAUAGCGAUUUGCUUUCACUUAUAGCA